This 209-nucleotide ribosomal RNA is filed under the name Escherichia coli. Its description in RNAcentral is "partial 16S ribosomal RNA". It matches the Rfam family "Bacterial small subunit ribosomal RNA", at positions 1 to 216 of the family's 1533-position model. The record is from RNAcentral. RNAcentral also lists the same sequence under 3 other names. Lineage: Bacteria; Pseudomonadati; Pseudomonadota; Gammaproteobacteria; Enterobacterales; Enterobacteriaceae.
AAAUUGAAGAGUUUGAUCAUGGCUCAGAUUGAACGCUGGCGGCAGGCCUAACACAUGCAAGUCGAACGGUAACAGGAAUCAGCUUGCUGAUUCGCUGACGAGUGGCGGACGGGUGAGUAAUGUCUGGGAAACUGCCUGAUGGAGGGGGAUAACUACUGGAAACGGUAGCUAAUACCGCAUAAUGUCGCAAGACCAAAGAGGGGGACCUU